GUAGGUGAACCUGCGGAAGGAUCAUUAGAGAGGAUGCUGUGUCCGCUAUUGUGGAUCAUGGCAUGAUUCAUCCUUGUGUUAUGUAACAUGUUGAUUGUGAGGUGUUGUGUGGUGUUGUUAUACAGCUCACAACAGCUCGCAUCAUUUUAUUCCAUUCCAUUCCAACCUCUUAUUCUACGCCUGUAACAAGGCACAAACAAUCGAAAACUGCCAGCAAUGGAUCACUCGGUUCUC
Molecule: unclassified non-coding RNA, 234 nt
Filed under: rhizosphere metagenome
Description: partial ribosomal RNA internal transcribed spacer region
Source: RNAcentral